Helianthus annuus (common sunflower) is the source of this 383-nucleotide long non-coding RNA. RefSeq lists it as uncharacterized. The transcript has 3 exons. The record is from RefSeq and is a predicted model, not a curated record. NCBI's taxonomy places the organism in Eukaryota, Viridiplantae, Streptophyta, Magnoliopsida, Asterales, Asteraceae.
UCAGAUCUGGUGGCUUCAAAAGAAAGGGAUGAGUACAUGAACACAUGGUGUCUUCGAUCUUCAGAUCUGGUGGCUUUGAUCUUCGAUAUUCAGAUCUCGUAGCUUUGAUGGUGGCUUUGAUGAAAAGGCAUGAAAGAAGAAAGUUCAAGUGCUACGAAGACGGAAAAACGCACAAGACCGAGGCAAAUCCUUGACUUCAUAGCUUGGCGACUCGGAACGAACACACUCGAUAUCACGCCCAUCUAGCGCUUCCGAAGAUGUCACAUUAGUAUGGUCUUAGUUUUGGUCAUAUGUAUUUUAACAUAUGUAAUCUUUUUGGUGUCCUUGUGAAUUGGGUAAAAACUUGGUUAGUAAGUAGCUUUUGUAUUAAAACAACUUAAACA